GCACUUCUGAAGUGUCCCAGAAUAGAACGAAACGGCCGUUCAGUGC
Molecule: non-coding RNA, 46 nt
Filed under: Schistosoma mansoni
Lineage: Eukaryota; Metazoa; Platyhelminthes; Trematoda; Strigeidida; Schistosomatidae
Source: RNAcentral